GUGACAGUGACCCAGAUGACCCUGAGCCUUUCCAUGGUUUUGAUGCCUCGCCCUAUACAUCAGAUGUAGAUGUUCCCUCAUCAGUUGAUACGAGUAUCACCUCUCCAGAGCCCAAAUCAGUUGAUACGAGUAGUAUCACCUCUCCCAUUCCUUCAGACUCCCAAGCACCUGCCCAUCCCACUCCAUAGCCCAGCCACCCACUCUCAUGUACCAUAUGGCCAUCCCAGUAAGCAAGCCAACCACUAGAAUUUGGUAAGGACAUUUUUUUUUAUUAAUGUUUUA
Long non-coding RNA from Macrobrachium nipponense, 282 nucleotides. RefSeq lists it as uncharacterized. NCBI's taxonomy places the organism in Eukaryota, Metazoa, Arthropoda, Malacostraca, Decapoda, Palaemonidae. The record is from RefSeq and is a predicted model, not a curated record. The transcript is spliced from 3 exons.